RNAcentral lists this small RNA (2322 nucleotides) under Pan troglodytes (chimpanzee). RNAcentral describes it as "retained intron". Lineage: Eukaryota; Metazoa; Chordata; Mammalia; Primates; Hominidae. The record is from RNAcentral.
CUAGUUCUUUGAAAUGUGAUGUCAGGUCCUUAAUAUGUAAGCUUUCUAUUUUUUUGAUGCAGGCCUUUAGGCUAUUAACUUCCCUCUUAGUACUACAUUUGAUGUAUCUCACAGGUUUUAUUAUAUUGUGUUUCUAUUUCCAUCUUUUUUCCCACAAAUUUUUAAUUUUCAUCUUAAUUUUUUUUUUUUUUUUUUUUUUUUUUGAGAUAGGUUUUACACUGUCACCCAGGCUGGAGUGUAGUGGCACAGUGUUGGCUCACUGCAACUUCCGCCUUCCAGGCUCAAACGAUCGUUUUAUAUUAGCCUCCCGAGUAGCUAGGACCAUAGGUGCACACCACCACACCUAGCUAUUUUUUCAUAUUUUUUUUUGUAGGGACAGGGUUUUGCCAUGUUGCCCAGGCUAAGGUUAAACUUCUUACCUCAGGUGGUCCACCUGUCUCAGCCUCCCAAAGUGCUGGGAUUACAGGUGUGAGCCACCACCCCUGGUCAACCAUCAUAAUUACUUCAUUUACAUAGUCACUGUUGAGGAGUAUGUUAUUUAAAUUCUUUGUAAAUUUAUAGUUUCUGAAAUUUCUGUUGAUACUGAUUUGUAGUUUUAUUCUACUGUGGUCUAAGUAGGUAGUUCGUAUAAUUUUGAUUUGGGGGGAUACUUUGUUGAUUUGCCAAAUUUCCUAUCUCAAUGGUCUCUCUAAUGCUGUGAGUAGAAUGUUGAAUUUCUCCACUAUUAUUGUAUUACUGUCUAUCUCGUUCUAUAGAUUUAAUAAUAUUUCUUUGUAAAUCAGGGUGCUGUGAUGUUGGGUUCAUAUAUAUUUAGAAUUGUUAUAUCUUUUGGCUGAAAUGAUUUCUUUAUUAUUGGAUGAUGAUCUUCUUUAUCCUUUUUUGUUACAGCUUUUUAAUUUAAAGUCUGUUUUAUUUGAUGUAAGUAUAGAUACUACUAUUUACUUUUGGUUUCUGUUUGUGUUAAUAUAUUCCCCCCCAUUUGCCUUUAAUCUAUAUGUGUCUUACAAGUAAGGUGAGAUUUUUGUAGGCAACAUAGAUUUGCGUUAUUUUUUCUCAUUCAUUUCAUAAAUCUAUACUUUUUUUUUUUUUUGAGACAGAGUCUUGCUCCAUCGCCAGGCUGGAGUGCAGUGGCGCAAUCUCGUCCCACUGCUCACUGCAACCUCUGCCUCCCCUAUUGAAGUGAUUCUCCUGUCUCAGCCUCCUGAGUAGCUGGGACUACAGGCACACACCACCACGCUCAGCUAAUUUUUGUAUUUUCAGAAGAGACGGGGUUUCAUCAUAUUCACCAGGCUGGUCUUGAUCUCUUGACCUCGUGAUACCCUCACCUCACCCUCCCAAAGUGCUGGGACUACAGGCGUGAGCCACCGCACCCAACCAAAUCUAUACAUUUCAAUGAAGCAUUUAAUUUAUUUAUAUUCAAGGUAAAUAUUAAUAUGUAAGGUUUUGUUACUAUCAUAAUGUUAAUUAUUUUCUUGUCUUAUUUUUUCUUUUUAUCUGUCUUUGUAGUUUAAUAAAAUUCUGUCAUGUUGUGAUUUGAUUUCACUUUGUUUUGUUUUGUAAGACCUGUUAGUUUUAUACUUUUAUAUAUUUUAAUAAUGGUGGAUAUCAAUCUCUUGUUUUUAUAUUAGAAUUUUUUUUAACAUCUUUCAUAGGCCCAGUCUAGUGGUAAUUAGUUUCCCCAGCAUUUAUUUGUCAGGGUAAGACUUUAUAUUCUUCAUUUGUGAAGGUUAUUCUAACUUGAUAUAAAAUUUUUGGCUGGCAGUUUUCUUUUUUUUCAGCACUCUAAAAGUGCCAUCCCAUUCUCUUCUGGUCAGUAAAGUUUCUGCUGAGAAGUCUGCUUUUAAUCUAAUGUGGUUUUCUUUAUAAAUUACUAGAUGCUUUUCUUUUGCUUAUUUUAGAAUUACUUCCUUCACUUUGACUUUAGAUAUUCUGAUUAUCAUGUGCCAUUAUGAUGUCUGUUUUGCAAUAUAUUUUGUUUAUAUUUUGUUGUAUUUUGUUUGCUGAGCUUCCUGUGUAUGUAUGUCUAAUUCUAUUGCUAGAGUUGGAAAGUUUUCAUCAAUUGUUUUCUUAAAUAGGUUUUCUAAACUUUUUGAUGUUUUUUCUUCCUCAGAAACACUGAUAAUUUUGAAGUUUAGUUACUUCAUGUAGUCGGAAACAAAGUCUUCAUUCAUUCUUUUUUAUUCUUUUCUCCUUAUUUUUGUCUGAGUGUAUUAUUUUAAAAGACCUGUUUAAAGGUUUGAAAAUUCUUUUUAUGUUUCUUCCAGUCUAUUAUUGAAUCUUUGAAUGUAUUUUCUUUUGCCUGCAAUAAAUCUUCAGUUCCAU